AGAGUCCUGUAGUGUUCGCCAGAGACCGCUAUGUUUUGACCGAACAUAUUUUUGAUCGGGAGCUUGUGUUUUCAUCAGGAAUACAUGCCUUGAACUACGAGGACGUAUGAAUGAUGGGACAGGGCACCCACCUGCUGAGUGCGGGUUUCAAAACAACGGUUGUUAAAGACGGCACAUAAUGGGACUUUU
RNAcentral lists this non-coding RNA (189 nucleotides) under Terrilactibacillus tamarindi. Its description in RNAcentral is "6S / SsrS RNA". It matches the Rfam family "6S / SsrS RNA". Rfam says of the family: E. coli 6S RNA was the first non coding RNA to be sequenced, but its function was unknown until recently. It consists of 184 nucleotides that fold into an extended hairpin structure with a large single-stranded internal bulge. The record is from Rfam by way of RNAcentral. Lineage: Bacteria; Bacillati; Bacillota; Bacilli; Caryophanales; Bacillaceae.